AGCGAACGCUGGCGGCGUGCUUAACACAUGCAAGUCGAACGUGAAAGUAGCAAUACGAGUAAAGUGGCGUACGGGUGAGUAACACGUGGGUAAUCUACCUUAGUGUCUGGAAUAACCGGCCGAAAGGCUGGCUAAUACUAGAUAGUUCAAAUGUAUUAUAACGAUACGAUUGGGAAAGGGAGCCGGUAACGGCCUUCGCAUUAAGAUGAGCCCGCGUCUGAUUAGCUAGUUGGUAAGGUAAUGGCUUACC
RNAcentral lists this ribosomal RNA (250 nucleotides) under uncultured bacterium. RNAcentral describes it as "partial 16S ribosomal RNA". It matches the Rfam family "Bacterial small subunit ribosomal RNA", at positions 29 to 269 of the family's 1533-position model. The record is from RNAcentral.